AGCAGUAGCCGCGGUAAUACGUAGGGUGCAAGCGUUAAUCGGAAUUACUGGGCGUAAAGCGUGCGCAGGCGGUGUUGUAAGACUGAUGUGAAAUCCCCGGGCUCAACCUGGGAACUGCAUUGGUGACUGCAACGCUGGAGUGCGGCAGAGGGGGAUGGAAUUCCGCGUGUAGCAGUGAAAUGCGUAGAUAUGCGGAGGAACACCGAUGGCGAAGGCAAUCCCCUGGGCCUGCACUGACGCUCAUGCACGAAAGCGUGGGGAGCAAACAGGAUUAGAUACCCGCGUAGUCCCUGUCUCUUAUAC
Molecule: ribosomal RNA, 303 nt
Filed under: uncultured bacterium
Lineage: Bacteria
Description: partial 16S ribosomal RNA
Rfam family: Bacterial small subunit ribosomal RNA
Source: RNAcentral